Molecule: ribosomal RNA, 530 nt
Filed under: uncultured bacterium
Lineage: Bacteria
Description: bacterial SSU rRNA
Rfam family: Bacterial small subunit ribosomal RNA
Source: RNAcentral
UGGGAAUAUUGCACAAUGGGCGGAAGCCUGAUGCAGCAACGCCGCGUGCGGGAUGACGGCCUUCGGGUUGUAAACCGCUUUCGCCUGUGACGAAGCGUGUGUGACGGUAAUGGGUAAAGAAGCACCGGCUAACUACGUGCCAGCAGCCGCGGUGAUACGUAGGGUGCGAGCGUUGUCCGGAUUUAUUGGGCGUAAAGGGCUCGUAGGUGGUUGAUCGCGUCGGAAGUGUAAUCUUGGGGCUUAACCCUGAGCGUGCUUUCGAUACGGGUUGACUUGAGGAAGGUAGGGGAGAAUGGAAUUCCUGGUGGAGCGGUGGAAUGCGCAGAUAUCAGGAGGAACACCAGUGGCGAAGGCGGUUCUCUGGGCCUUUCCUGACGCUGAGGAGCGAAAGCGUGGGGAGCGAACAGGCUUAGAUACCCUGGUAGUCCACGCUGUAAACGGUGGGUACUAGGUGUGGGGUCCAUUCCACGGGUUCCGUGCCGUAGCUAACGCUUUAAGUACCCCGCCUGGGGAGUACGGCCGCAAGGCUA